This is a long non-coding RNA of Scleropages formosus (Asian bonytongue), 1916 nucleotides long. The record is from Ensembl. Lineage: Eukaryota; Metazoa; Chordata; Actinopteri; Osteoglossiformes; Osteoglossidae.
GCACACCAGCACCAAAAAAAUCCUGCAACAAGUUGGCUUUUUUGAGCUGCACCUUGUUUUUCGCAGCAGUCAUUUUUAACAGUGUGCUUUUUAUAAAAUAGUUCUGCUCUUGCUGCUUUGAUGAUCAUGGCUUGCGAUUCUUUUUUUUUUUUGGCCAACGUUUUUUUUUUUUUUUUUUUGGUUGCAAUAAGUGAUUGUGAUUCUUCUUUUUAUCGAACUAGGUUCCGUUUUAAUAGUAGUUGUGGGUGUUGGUGGACUUUUUCCCCUCCCACACCCCCAGAUCACACGGCUCUCUCCAGCCCAUGAUGGAGGACUUUUUAUGGUAACAUGUUGUCUUGCUGCCGUCAGUCUGUUUGCUCCGUGGUGCUGCUGCUGAAGAAGAUGGCUGUGUUGUCCAAGUGCGUUACACAUCACUAGGUGGAAGACGUGCUGUUUGUAAGUGCAGGCACCUCUGUAGGAAGUAUUGCACCCCUCUCUCCAUGUCCGCCCUCUCUCUCCCUCUCCCUCCCUACCUCUCUUCCUCCCUCCCGCCCGCCCUCUCUCUCUCUCUCUCUCGCUCUCUCUCUCGCUCUCUCUGUUUCUCUGCGUCGCGUACUCCAUCGUCGACUCAUUUGCCGGCCUGGGGUGGGAGAGGCCUGUGUCGUAGAGCUCUUUCUGGGACAGGUGCCAAUUCCAGACAAAAGACAGAAAAAGCAGGGACCUACAUCCCGAGAAAUACAGAGGAAGAAAGGAAAAAGAGAAAGGAUGCGUUUCUUGGUUUUGAAACACCCUGCGCAGACCGCUGGCACCUGCAGCUUUUUUCUGAAUUUGUGUAAGUCACACAUCUGCAUGUGAGUGUCUGUCUGUCUGUGUGUGUGUGUGUGUGUGUGUGUGUGUCUGUGCAUUAGUCUGCGUGUGUCUGAGUGUGUCUGCAUUUGCCAGCCUGUGUGUGACUGGGCUUGCUUCUCUCUCUCUCUCUCUCUCUCUCUCUCUCCCCCUCUCACUGUAUUUCAGUAUUUGUACGUGUGUAAUAUGUCUACAGGCUUUAAGCAUGUUCUGUUAUUUGGAACCCCCCCCCCCCCCCCCCCACACACACACACACACACACACACACACAUGCGCGCGCACGCAAAGAUAUAAAUUUUUGAUUGCAAGUAACUGUGGUUGUCCUACAUGCUAAGGCAUGAUCAUCAUGGAGAUAAUGGUGUUUAAACAAGGACUUGAAAUGUGCUUCUCAUCGUAACAUUUUGUAUAUUAACAGACAUUAAUGUAUUUUGCUUUAGGAAUUUAAAGUAAAUUAAAAAAAUUAUAAGAAAAUCUUUUUUCUCUGAAUUACUCAUAAGUGUGAAGGACAAUAUAAUACAUUUUUCUUGUUUUCCUUUUAAUUACAUGAUCAGAUCGGCAGCUGUUCUGUCCUAUUGUAACUCAAAACUUGUUUUUCAUCCAGUUGAAUUUUUUACCGAGCUUGUAGGGUUAUGAGAGAAGUGUUUUCUGGCUGUAGUUAGUUAUUUGUUGUUUAGUUAUUUGUGGAAAAGGAUGUACUGGAUGAGGCUUGGGCACGUCUGGGAAGUGUUCCAGGCAGUUGAAGCCGUGCCGUGCCUUUUCGGUGGAACACCGUUCUAUUCUAUUACACUAUUGAAAUCGUAGCGCUUUAAUGCCCCUGGAAUUAGAUCAUGGUUCUUUAAUUUUGAAAAUCAGGUUUUUUUUUCCAAUUUUAUCUAAGCUAAAUAUCAACUUGUGUAUUUUUACGAUUUACCUUCUGUAGCAACAGGAGUGUUUUAUACUCGUGUGUACAGUCUUCAAGGACAUUCUUACACACAGACAUACAGUUUUAUUUACUCACAACUCCAGGUUUCAAUUAAUUACGUAAAUUUAAUUACAGGUAUAAAUGCACUGGUGUUAAUAAAUUAAUGUGUUAAGAGAAUUAUCUUAUUAGA